AUUGUCUUAGGUGCUGCUUUAGCUCUCUUUGAUCCCAGCUGUCUUGUUCUCCCCUAGGAAAAGUCUCCUUGAAUGAUUCCUCAAUGCCAAAUGCUCAAUUUUUUCCAGAUAAUGGGUGAAAUGUACAAGGGCGGUAAAAACAAUUGUUUGAAAAUGCCUUUGACUGAUAGUUUUUAAAAAAUCUCUAGUUUACUAAAUACAAGUAUUUCUAGCUUUUAUUUUUUUCUUUUAGCUUUUUAAUUGUAUGUAUUUAAAGAGUACAACAUGAUUUAUUGUAUAUAUUUAAGGAGUACAACAUGAUUUCUAAGGGGAUUUCCAACAAACAAGUAGUUGUUCCCCCUGGAAAUAUAUGUACUUCUUUAGAACAAUGUUAAAACUGUAAUUGGAUACAGUAGGCGUGCUCUAACACAUUUUCAGAGUUAAAAUAUGGCUUAUAGUAUAUUCCAUCUACUCUUAUGGCAACUUUUAGAACACUUGAAGUCAUUUAGGAAUCAUUUAGGAAAAAAUGAAAUACUAAGCGUUUGUCUUUUGCAAUCUUCAUAGAACCUGUGAGAGGAUAGCAGAGGUCAGUACCCAGCUUACUGUGAAGAAAGAGAACAGAUAUCCAGCCACUGCUUCUCCUACAAGGCCAGUCCUCGAGUCACCUUUUGUUGGAAGUCUUAAUGACAGUGAAGCUCUCAACAGAAGACAUAUUGAAAGAAGAAGCAGAUCUUCACAUGAGAGCAUGGAGAGCUUCUUGUUGAGGUUCGGUGUUCGAGGGAUCUGUUUCUCGAGGCCAAUCCUGCUUUCAAUCAAUCUUUCAAAUCAAUCUCAGGUUUUCUGCCCCUCAUCAUAUGUGAUUGAUUGGUAUCCACACACUAACCACACGUGGAUGUUUAUUAUUUAAAAAGAUCCAAUGUGAAUACGUUUAAUACGUUGUAUAAACCUGCAACACUUGAUUAAUCUCUCUUCUUUAAGUUAAAAGUUUUGUGAGUACACCUGUAAUUGCUAUUGCUCUUACAGCAUUUUAAUCUCCAUCUUUGUAAAAUGUUUCUAUUGCUAUGCAAUUGUACAGUAAUUCUGAAAUAAACAAAUAUCUGAAUUUUUAAAGUAAA
Molecule: long non-coding RNA, 1094 nt
Organism: Sapajus apella (tufted capuchin)
Lineage: Eukaryota; Metazoa; Chordata; Mammalia; Primates; Cebidae
Exons: 2
Source: RefSeq, a predicted model, not a curated record